ACUCAAAUGAAUUGACGGGGGAGCGCACAACCGGUGGAGCAUGUGGUUUAAUUCGAUACAAAGCGAAAGACCUCACCCGGACUUGACAUGUAGCUGCACGGCUUAGGAAACUAGGCCUUCUUCGAGAGUGCUACACAGGUGAUGCAUGGCUGUCGUCAGCUCGUGUCGUGAGACGUCCGCUUAAGUGCGGUAACGAGCGCAACCCCUAUCGCCAGUUACAAGUGUCUGGCGAAACUGCUCCCGCUCUGCGGGGGAGGAAGGAGGGGACGACGUCAAGUCAGCAUGUCCCUUACGUCCGGGGCCACACACAUCCUACAAUGGGGUAGACAACGGGUCGCGACGCCGUGAGGCUGAGCCAAUCCUUAUAAACUACCCCUCAGUUCAGAUUGCAGGCUGCAACCCGCCUGCAUGAAGCCGGAAUCGGUAGUAAUCGCAAAUCAGCAGGUUGCGGUGAAUACGUUCUCGCUCCUUGUACACACCGCCCGU
Molecule: ribosomal RNA, 486 nt
Filed under: uncultured bacterium
Lineage: Bacteria
Description: partial 16S ribosomal RNA
Rfam family: Bacterial small subunit ribosomal RNA
Source: RNAcentral